GAUGAACGCUGGCGGCGUGCUUAACACAUGCAAGUCGAGCGAAGCRCUWUGGAAGAUUCCUUCGGGAUGAUUCCUUUGUGACUUAGCGGCGGACGGGUGAGUAACGCGUGGGCAACCUGCCUUGUACAGGGGGAUAACAGUUAGAAAUGACUGCUAAUACCGCAUAAGCGCACAGCAUGGCAUCAUGCAGUGUGAAAAACUCCGGUGGUACAAGAUGGGCCCGCGUUGGAUUAGCUUGUUGGUGGGGUAACGGCCCACCAAGGCGACGAUCCAUAGCCGGACUGAGAGGUCGAACGGCCACAUUGGGACUGAGACACGGCCCAGACACCUACGGGAGGCAGCAGUGGGGAAUAUUGCACAAUGGAGGAAACUCUGAUGCAGCGACGCCGCGUGAGUGAUGAAGUAUUUCGGUAUGUAAAGCUUCUAUCAGCAG
RNAcentral lists this ribosomal RNA (433 nucleotides) under bacterium FC2004. Its description in RNAcentral is "bacterial SSU rRNA". It matches the Rfam family "Bacterial small subunit ribosomal RNA", at positions 28 to 443 of the family's 1533-position model. The record is from RNAcentral.